This 104-nucleotide small RNA is filed under the name Marmota monax (woodchuck). Lineage: Eukaryota; Metazoa; Chordata; Mammalia; Rodentia; Sciuridae. The record is from RNAcentral.
GGGUGAGGUGGCACACGCCUGUAGUCCCAGUAACUCAGGAGGCUGAGGUGGGAGGAUGGCAAGUUUGAGGAUAGCCUCAGCAAUUUAGCCAGACCCUGCCUCAA